CCAAGAUAUUCUGGACGUUGCGGAUCGUCAGGAUGCAGAUACGCGUCGUACCUCCAACGGACGCGUACAAGACACCAUUAACGUUAAUUUGCGCGCCUGAAAUAAAACAAGAUGCUUUGCACGUUUUGAAGUGAUGUACGGAGUUUAAGAGCAAUGAAGUUACCUAUUUAUCUGGACUACUC
Molecule: small RNA, 182 nt
Filed under: Prodigiosinella confusarubida
Lineage: Bacteria; Pseudomonadati; Pseudomonadota; Gammaproteobacteria; Enterobacterales; Pectobacteriaceae
Description: Serratia sp. ATCC 39006 IscS-1 ICR thermometer
Rfam family: IscS-1 ICR thermometer
About the family: Imprinting control region from upstream of iscS-1 (cysteine desulfurase).
Source: Rfam by way of RNAcentral